This 1372-nucleotide ribosomal RNA is filed under the name uncultured bacterium. RNAcentral describes it as "bacterial SSU rRNA". It matches the Rfam family "Bacterial small subunit ribosomal RNA", at positions 28 to 1381 of the family's 1533-position model. The record is from RNAcentral.
GAUGAACGCUGGCGGCGUGCCUAAUACAUGCAAGUCGAGCGAACGGACGAGAAGCUUGCUUCUCUGAUGUUAGCGGCGGACGGGUGAGUAACACGUGGACAACCUACCUAUAAGACUGGGAUAACUUCGGGAAACCGGAGCUAGUACCGGAUAAUAUUUUGAACCGCAUGGUUCAAAAGUGAAAGACGGUCUUGCUGUCACUUAUAGAUGGAUCCGCGCUGCAUUAGCUAGUUGGUAAGGUAACGGCUUACCAAGGCAACGAUGCAUAGCCGACCUGAGAGGGUGAUCGGCCACACUGGAACUGAGACACGGUCCAGACUCCUACGGGAGGCAGCAGUAGGGAAUCUUCCGCAAUGGGCGAAAGCCUGACGGAGCAACGCCGCGUGAGUGAUGAAGGUCUUCGGAUCGUAAAACUCUGUUAUUAGGGAAGAACAUAUGUGUAAGUAACUGUGCACAUCUUGACGGUACCUAAUCAGAAAGCCACGGCUAACUACGUGCCAGCAGCCGCGGUAAUACGUAGGUGGCAAGCGUUAUCCGGAAUUAUUGGGCGUAAAGCGCGCGUAGGCGGUUUUUUAAGUCUGAUGUGAAAGCCCACGGCUCAACCGUGGAGGGUCAUUGGAAACUGGAAAACUUGAGUGCAGAAGAGGAAAGUGGAAUUCCAUGUGUAGCGGUGAAAUGCGCAGAGAUAUGGAGGAACACCAGUGGCGAAGGCGACUUUCUGGUCUGUAACUGACGCUGAUGUGCGAAAGCGUGGGGAUCAAACAGGAUUAGAUACCCUGGUAGUCCACGCCGUAAACGAUGAGUGCUAAGUGUUAGGGGGUUUCCGCCCCUUAGUGCUGCAGCUAACGCAUUAAGCACUCCGCCUGGGGAGUACGACCGCAAGGUUGAAACUCAAAGGAAUUGACGGGGACCCGCACAAGCGGUGGAGCAUGUGGUUUAAUUCGAAGCAACGCGAAGAACCUUACCAAAUCUUGACAUCCUUUGACAACUCUAGAGAUAGAGCCUUCCCCUUCGGGGGACAAAGUGACAGGUGGUGCAUGGUUGUCGUCAGCUCGUGUCGUGAGAUGUUGGGUUAAGUCCCGCAACGAGCGCAACCCUUAAGCUUAGUUGCCAUCAUUAAGUUGGGCACUCUAAGUUGACUGCCGGUGACAAACCGGAGGAAGGUGGGGAUGACGUCAAAUCAUCAUGCCCCUUAUGAUUUGGGCUACACACGUGCUACAAUGGACAAUACAAAGGGCAGCGAAACCGCGAGGUCAAGCAAAUCCCAUAAAGUUGUUCUCAGUUCGGAUUGUAGUCUGCAACUCGACUACAUGAAGCUGGAAUCGCUAGUAAUCGUAGAUCAGCAUGCUACGGUGAAUACGUUCCCGGGUCU